AACGAACGCUGGCGGCAUGCCUAACACAUGCAAGUCGAACGAGACCUUCGGGUCUAGUGGCGCACGGCUGCGUAACGCGUGGGAACCUGCCCUUAGGUUCGGAAUAACUCCCCGAAAGGGGUGCUAAUACCGGAUAAUGUCUUCGGACCAAAGAUUUAUUGCCUUUGGAUGGGCCCGCGUUGGAUUAGCUAGUUGGUAGGGUAAAAGCCUACCAAGGCGACGAUGCAUAGCUGGUCUGAGAGGAUGAUCAGCCACACUUGGGCUGAGACACGGCCCAGACUCCUACGGGAGGCAGCAGUGGGGAAUAUUGGACAAUGGGCGAAGGCCUGAUCCAGCAAUGCCGCGUAAGUGAUGAAGGCCUUAGGGUUGUAAAGUUCUUUUACCCGGGAUGAUAGUGACGGUACCGGGUGAAUAAGCUCCGGCUAACUCCGUG
This 433-nucleotide ribosomal RNA is filed under the name uncultured bacterium. Its description in RNAcentral is "partial 16S ribosomal RNA". It matches the Rfam family "Bacterial small subunit ribosomal RNA", at positions 29 to 507 of the family's 1533-position model. The record is from RNAcentral.